RNAcentral lists this ribosomal RNA (253 nucleotides) under uncultured bacterium. Its description in RNAcentral is "partial 16S ribosomal RNA". It matches the Rfam family "Bacterial small subunit ribosomal RNA", at positions 524 to 776 of the family's 1533-position model. The record is from RNAcentral.
UACGUAGGGCGCAAGCGUUGUCCGGAAUUAUUGGGCGUAAAGAGCUCGUAGGCGGCUUGUCGCGUCGGAUGUGAAAGCUCGGGGCUUAACCCCGGGUCUGCAUUCGAUACGGGCAGGCUAGAGUGUGGUAGGGGAGAUCGGAAUUCCCGGUGUAGCGGUGAAAUGCGCAGAUAUCGGGAGGAACACCAGCGGCGAAGGCGGCACUCUGGGCUGGAACUGACGCUGAGGCGCGAAAGCGUGGGGAGCAAACAGG